Molecule: ribosomal RNA, 619 nt
Filed under: uncultured bacterium
Lineage: Bacteria
Description: bacterial SSU rRNA
Rfam family: Bacterial small subunit ribosomal RNA
Source: RNAcentral
CCUACGGGAGGCAGCAGUGGGGAAUUUUGGACAAUGGGCGAAAGCCUGAUCCAGCAAUGCCGCGUGAGUGAAGAAGGCCUUCGGGUUGUAAAGCUCUUUUGUCAGGGAAGAAACGGUGAGAGCUAAUAUCUUUUGCUAAUGACGGUACCUGAAGAAUAAGCACCGGCUAACUACGUGCCAGCAGCCGCGGUAAUACGUAGGGUGCAAGCGUUAAUCGGAAUUACUGGGCGUAAAGCGUGCGCAGGCGGUUUUGUAAGUCUGAUGUGAAAUCCCCGGGCUCAACCUGGGAAUUGCAUUGGAGACUGCAAGGCUAGAAUCUGGCAGAGGGGGGUAGAAUUCCACGUGUAGCAGUGAAAUGCGUAGAUAUGUGGAGGAACACCGAUGGCGAAGGCAGCCCCCUGGGUCAAGAUUGACGCUCAUGCACGAAAGCGUGGGGAGCAAACAGGAUUAGAUACCCUGGUAGUCCACGCCCUAAACGAUGUCUACUAGUUGUCGGGUCUUAAUUGACUUGGUAACGCAGCUAACGCGUGAAGUAGACCGCCUGGGGGAGUACGGUCGCAAGNUUAAAACUCAAAGGAAUUGACCGGNUGAGAGAGCGAGGACGACACGAGGGAGGAGG